UGCAAGUCGAACGGAAGGCCCCUUUGGGGGUACUCGAGUGGCGAACGGGUGAGUAACACGUGAGUAACCUGCCCUUGACUUCGGGAUAACUUCAGGAAACUGGGGCUAAUACCGGAUAGGAAUCCUUGCUGCAUGGUGGGGGUUGGAAAGCUUCGGCGGUUUUGGAUGGACUCGCGGCUUAUCAGCUUGUUGGUGGGGUAGUGGCUUACCAAGGCUUUGACGGGUAGCCGGCCUGAGAGGGCGACCGGCCACAUUGGGACUGAGAUACGGCCCAGACUCCUACGGGAGGCAGCAGUGGGGAAUAUUGCACAAUGGGCGGAAGCCUGAUGCAGCAACGCCGCGUGCGGGAUGACGGCCUUCGGGUUGUAAACCGCUUUCAGCAGGGGCGAAGCUUUUGUGACGGUACCUGCAGAAGAAGCACCGGCUAACUACGUGCCAGCAGCCGCGGUGAUACGUAGGGUGCGAGCGUUGUCCGGAUUUAUUGGGCGUAAAGAGCUCGUAGGUGGUUGAUUGCGUCGGAAGUGAAAACUUGGGGCUUAACCCUGAGCGUGCUUUCGAUACGGGUUGACUUGAGGAAGGUAGGGGAGAAUGGAAUUCCUGGUGGAGCGGUGGAAUGCGCAGAUAUCAGGAGGAACACCAGUGGCGAAGGCGGUUCUCUGGACCUUUCCUGACGCUGA
RNAcentral lists this ribosomal RNA (677 nucleotides) under uncultured bacterium. Its description in RNAcentral is "bacterial SSU rRNA". It matches the Rfam family "Bacterial small subunit ribosomal RNA", at positions 56 to 749 of the family's 1533-position model. The record is from RNAcentral.